RNAcentral lists this ribosomal RNA (253 nucleotides) under uncultured bacterium. Its description in RNAcentral is "partial 16S ribosomal RNA". It matches the Rfam family "Bacterial small subunit ribosomal RNA", at positions 524 to 776 of the family's 1533-position model. The record is from RNAcentral.
UACAGAGGGGGCAAGCGUUGUUCGGAAUUACUGGGCGUAAAGGGCGCGUAGGCGGGUUCGCAAGUCAGGGGUGAAAUCUUUCAGCUUAACUGGAAAACAGCCCCUGAUACUGCGAGUCUCGAGGGAGGUAGGGGCAUGUGGAACUUCCGGUGGAGCGGUGAAAUGCGUAGAUAUCGGAAGGAACGCCGGUGGCGAAAGCGACGUGCUGGACCUCUUCUGACGCUGAGGCGCGAAAGCUAGGGGAGCAAACGGG